This 713-nucleotide ribosomal RNA is filed under the name Priestia aryabhattai. RNAcentral's name for it is "bacterial SSU rRNA". It matches the Rfam family "Bacterial small subunit ribosomal RNA", at positions 64 to 762 of the family's 1533-position model. Lineage: Bacteria; Bacillati; Bacillota; Bacilli; Caryophanales; Bacillaceae. The record is from RNAcentral.
GAACUGAUUAGAAGCUUGCUUCUAUGACGUUAGCGGCGGACGGGUGAGUAACACGUGGGCAACCUGCCUGUAAGACUGGGAUAACUUCGGGAAACCGAAGCUAAUACCGGAUAGGAUCUUCUCCUUCAUGGGAGAUGAUUGAAAGAUGGUUUCGGCUAUAAAUUACAGAUGGGCCCGCGGUGCAUUAGCUAGUUGGUGAGGUAACGGCUCACCAAGGCAACGAUGCAUAGCCGACCUGAGAGGGUGAUCGGCCACACUGGGACUGAGACACGGCCCAGACUCCUACGGGAGGCAGCAGUAGGGAAUCUUCCGCAAUGGACGAAAGUCUGACGGAGCAACGCCGCGUGAGUGAUGAAGGCUUUCGGGUCGUAAAACUCUGUUGUUAGGGAAGAACAAGUACGAGAGUAACUGCUCGUACCUUGACGGUACCUAACCAGAAAGCCACGGCUAACUACGUGCCAGCAGCCGCGGUAAUACGUAGGUGGCAAGCGUUAUCCGGAAUUAUUGGGCGUAAAGCGCGCGCAGGCGGUUUCUUAAGUCUGAUGUGAAAGCCCACGGCUCAACCGUGGAGGGUCAUUGGAAACUGGGGAACUUGAGUGCAGAAGAGAAAAGCGGAAUUCCACGUGUAGCGGUGAAAUGCGUAGAGAUGUGGAGGAACACCAGUGGCGAAGGCGGCUUUUUGGUCUGUAACUGACGCUGAGGCGCGAAAGCGU